CAGCGGGGAGGCUCUACCGCUGCCCCGAAGAAGUGGCCCUCGCGGGUCAAACCUUUCAGGGGGAGAGGAAAGUCCGGGCAACGCAGAGCGCCGUCCUUCCUAACCGAAGACGUCCGUGAGGGUGUAGAAGCGUAACAGAGAACGACCGCCCGCAAGGGUAAGGGUGAAAAGGUGGGGUAAGAGCCCACCGCGGAGGUGGCGACACGCUCCGGCAGUACGCCUGACGGGUUGCAAGACCGUGUAUAUCGACGCUAUCAGGGUUGCUCGCCCGAGUCGAGGGGUAGGUUGCUGAUAAGCGUGCGGGUGACCGUAUCGCUCAGAUAAAUGGUAGAGGCCCGGCUCGUCCGGGUACAGAACCCGGCUUAUACGCCCCGCUGUCCU
Molecule: RNase P RNA, 381 nt
Filed under: Rikenellaceae bacterium
Lineage: Bacteria; Pseudomonadati; Bacteroidota; Bacteroidia; Bacteroidales; Rikenellaceae
Description: RNase P RNA component class A
Rfam family: Bacterial RNase P class A
About the family: Ribonuclease P (RNase P) is a ubiquitous endoribonuclease, found in archaea, bacteria and eukarya as well as chloroplasts and mitochondria. Its best characterised activity is the generation of mature 5'-ends of tRNAs by cleaving the 5'-leader elements of precursor-tRNAs. Cellular RNase Ps are ribonucleoproteins.
Source: RNAcentral